GGCGUGAUAGCUCAGCUGGUUAGAGCACAGCACUCAUAAUGCUGGGGUCGGUGGUUCAAGUCCACCUCACGCCACCA
This 77-nucleotide transfer RNA is filed under the name Aliisedimentitalea sp. MJ-SS2. RNAcentral's name for it is "tRNA-Met". It matches the Rfam family "tRNA". From Rfam's summary of the family: Transfer RNA (tRNA) molecules are approximately 80 nucleotides in length. Their secondary structure includes four short double-helical elements and three loops (D, anti-codon, and T loops). The record is from RNAcentral. Lineage: Bacteria; Pseudomonadati; Pseudomonadota; Alphaproteobacteria; Rhodobacterales; Roseobacteraceae.